UCUCGAUCAAGGGACUGGUCUCCUGCCUCCGCCUGGGGUCCCACGAGUCUGGCGGCCAAGUCGCUCUUCUCACAGAAAAUGGCUUGGUCACGGGGCACGUCCUUUUGUCUGGCCCCUCAGCGACAACAAUAAACCCUAUUUGUCCAGAUUAGCACGAGAGCUAUCAAUUCAUGGAUUCUGCCUUGUGUGAACUACUGGAUGAAAUUUGGGGGCUACAGAGAUCUUGAUUCACUCAGUUAAUUAAACUACUCAUUCAGCAGAUGAUCGAUUGAGAGCCAACAUUAAAAACAAGACUAAGAGUUCGAGGAAUGGGACUGAAUUCUAACCCUCUAAUCACGUGGUUGGCUCUUCUGGCAACAAUCCUCCACCCUGAAGCGUCUAGAGGCCCACCAAGACUCACCUUAUUAGCAUUAACUCAGAUCACCAUGUGGGGAGCAGUAUGAGCUUGGACUUGGUAACAAAUGUACCCAAAAGGUAACCCCAAGAAUAGACGUAAGUGUCAUUUGUGGUGAGUAUGUUCUGAGGAGUAGAAUUUCUGGGUCAUUCUUUCUAAAAUUAUAAUUUCUCAUGGUAAAACAAAGUAACAACUGUUAAUAGCUUCUGCCACAGUAUCAUAUAUUAAAAUGGUUUAAGGCUAACACUGUAAUUAAGCUUUCCAAAUCAGGAACAUGACAUUACUUAUUCCCAAAUAAUUAAUCAAAAAAUAUAGACAAAUUUUAUGUACAGAGAUUCAUUUCAAAAUUGUCUAAAACAACAGCAAUGACAAAUCUGGAAACAUCUUGAAUAUCCAAACAUAGUAACAACUGAGUAAAUGAUUAUACAUCAUACAACAUGAUGUACAUAAUGAAACAAACUUCUACCAGUAUGAUUUUUAAUGACAUGGAGAAAGUAUAAAGACAGUAUAUUCUUUAUUAUGUUAAAAAAAAAGUAUAUAGUUUCAUUUAUGUCCCGCUCAAAUUUCAACCCUUUAGAUAAGCCUUCCCUGGCUAUUGAUUAUAACAGCAUUUUGCUGCCACUUUCUUUCCUUAUAUGACAUCUUAAUUUUUUUGUAGUAUUAUCACUCCCUGAAAAUUCUUUUUGUUAGUUUCUUUAUUCAUUGUCUUUCUCACUCUGCUAGAAUGUAAACUACAUCCUGCCUUUUUCUUUGCUGCUGUAUCACACAAUGUCUCGAAACAUGUUGAGUGUAUAAAUGUGUUCAAAAUGCAAUUAUUAAAUGAAUGGGCAUGAUGUUCAGAAAACACUGAGAAGAACUACACUGAAAUGUUAACAAUGGUUCAAUUUGAGUGAUGGAAUUAUAGGCCAUUUUACUUUCUCUUCAUGUUUUUUAUCCAAGAUUUUCCUUAAUAUUCCUACUAUCCUUGAGAGGAAAACCGAAAAAUGGAAUAAAAAUAAAGACAUAACAU
Non-coding RNA from Odocoileus virginianus texanus, 1403 nucleotides. The record is from RefSeq and is a predicted model, not a curated record. NCBI's taxonomy places the organism in Eukaryota, Metazoa, Chordata, Mammalia, Artiodactyla, Cervidae.